Molecule: long non-coding RNA, 225 nt
Filed under: Citrus maxima (pomelo)
Lineage: Eukaryota; Viridiplantae; Streptophyta; Magnoliopsida; Sapindales; Rutaceae
Description: long non-coding RNA (CMAX_LNC001584)
Source: RNAcentral
GUGGUCGGAUUGGUUUUAAUGUAAUUGUAAUCUCUACCAAAACCUGGGUUCGAUUCUUGGGAGUGAUAAAAGAGUAAAAAAUUGUAUUUGAGCUUGCUCACCCCUACCUUUAAAAAAAUAAAAAAUUGACUGAAAAAACUCAAGAAUGAAAGCUCCGUGGAGCAUCAAAAAGUGUAAGAAAUUUCCCCAUUUUACAGGAGGGAAUGUAUCAAUUGUUUAAUUAGC